GGGCCAGUAGUUCAAUCCGGUAGAACGCACCGCUGGCAGCGGUGAGGUCUCGGGUUCAAAUCCCGACUGGUCCA
RNAcentral lists this transfer RNA (74 nucleotides) under Candidatus Woesearchaeota archaeon. RNAcentral's name for it is "tRNA-Ala". It matches the Rfam family "tRNA". From Rfam's summary of the family: Transfer RNA (tRNA) molecules are approximately 80 nucleotides in length. Lineage: Archaea; Nanobdellati; Candidatus Woesearchaeota. The record is from RNAcentral.